Molecule: ribosomal RNA, 305 nt
Filed under: uncultured bacterium
Lineage: Bacteria
Description: bacterial SSU rRNA
Rfam family: Bacterial small subunit ribosomal RNA
Source: RNAcentral
GUGGUCCUACGGGGCGCAGCAGUGAGGAAUAUUGGUCAAUGGGCGCGAGCCUGAACCAGCCAAGUCGCGUGAGGGAGGACGGCCCUACGGGUUGUAAACCUCUUUUGCCGGGGAGCAACGGGCGUCACGUGUGGCGCCACUGAGAGUACCCGGAGAAAAAGCAUCGGCUAACUCCGUGCCAGCAGCCGCGGUAAUACGUAGGGGGCAAGCGUUAUCCGGAUUUACUGGGUGUAAAGGGAGCGUAGACGGCCAGACAAGUCAGAAGUGAAAGCCCAGGGCUCAACCCUGGGACUGCUUUUGAAACU